GACAGAGGGUGCGAACGUUGCUCGGAAUUACUGGGCGUAAAGCGUGUGUAGGCGGCCACGCAAGUCGGAUGUGAAAGCCCUGGGCUCAACCCAGGAAGUGCACCCGAUACUGCGACGGCUUGAGUACCGGAGAGGUUGGUGGAAUUCUCGGUGUAGAGGUGAAAUUCGUAGAUAUCGAGAGGAACACCGGUGGCGAAGGCGGCCAACUGGACGAGUACUGACGCUGAGACACGAAAGCGUGGGGAGCGAACAGG
Molecule: ribosomal RNA, 254 nt
Filed under: uncultured bacterium
Lineage: Bacteria
Description: partial 16S ribosomal RNA
Rfam family: Bacterial small subunit ribosomal RNA
Source: RNAcentral